This 484-nucleotide ribosomal RNA is filed under the name uncultured bacterium. RNAcentral describes it as "partial 16S ribosomal RNA". It matches the Rfam family "Bacterial small subunit ribosomal RNA", at positions 28 to 523 of the family's 1533-position model. The record is from RNAcentral.
GACGAACGCUGGCGGCGUGCUUAACACAUGCAAGUCGAACGAUGAAGCCGGAGCUUGCUCUGGUGAAUUAGUGGCGAACGGGUGAGUAACACGUGAGUAACCUGCCCUUGACUCUGGGAUAACUGCGGGAAACUGUAGCUAAUACCGGAUACGACCCUCGGAGGCAUCUCCUGGGGGUGGAAAGAAUUCCGGUCAAGGAUGGACUCGCGGCCUAUCAGCUAGUUGGUGAGGUAGCGGCUCACCAAGGCGACGACGGGUAGCCGGCCUGAGAGGGUGACCGGCCACACUGGGACUGAGACACGGCCCAGACUCCUACGGGAGGCAGCAGUGGGGAAUAUUGCACAAUGGGCGCAAGCCUGAUGCAGCAACGCCGCGUGAGGGAUGACGGCCUUCGGGUUGUAAACCUCUUUUAGUAGGGAAGAAGCGAAAGUGACGGUACCUGCAGAAAAAGCACCGGCUAACUACGUGCCAGCCGCCGCAGUAA